RNAcentral lists this ribosomal RNA (161 nucleotides) under Nicotiana otophora. Its description in RNAcentral is "5.8S ribosomal RNA". The stretch from base 1 to 139 matches the Rfam family "5.8S ribosomal RNA", at positions 18 to 154 of the family's 154-position model. From Rfam's summary of the family: 5.8S ribosomal RNA (5.8S rRNA) is a component of the large subunit of the eukaryotic ribosome. The record is from RNAcentral. Lineage: Eukaryota; Viridiplantae; Streptophyta; Magnoliopsida; Solanales; Solanaceae.
AUCUCGGCUCUCGCAUCGAUGAAGAACGUAGCGAAAUGCGAUACUUGGUGUGAAUUGCAGAAUCCCGUGAACCAUCGAGUCUUUGAACGCAAGUUGCGCCCGAAGCCAUUAGGCCGAGGGCACGUCUGCCUGGGCGUCACGCAUCGCGUCGCCCCCGCACG